This 466-nucleotide ribosomal RNA is filed under the name uncultured bacterium. RNAcentral describes it as "partial 16S ribosomal RNA". It matches the Rfam family "Bacterial small subunit ribosomal RNA", at positions 28 to 507 of the family's 1533-position model. The record is from RNAcentral.
GAUGAACGCUGGCGGCGUGCUUAACACAUGCAAGUCGAACGAUGAAGCCCAGCUUGCUGGGUGGAUUAGUGGCGAACGGGUGAGUAACACGUGAGUAACCUGCCCUUAACUCUGGGAUAAGCCUGGGAAACUGGGUCUAAUACCGGAUAGGAGCGUCCACCGCAUGGUGGGUGUUGGAAAGAUUUAUCGGUUUUGGAUGGACUCGCGGCCUAUCAGCUUGUUGGUGAGGUAUUGGCUCACCAAGGCGACGACGGGUAGCCGGCCUGAGAGGGUGACCGGCCACACUGGGACUGAGACACGGCCCAGACUCCUACGGGAGGCAGCAGUGGGGAAUAUUGCACAAUGGGCGAAAGCCUGAUGCAGCGACGCCGCGUGAGGGAUGACGGCCUUCGGGUUGUAAACCUCUUUCAGUAGGGAAGAAGCGAAAGUGACGGUACCUGCAGAAGAAGCACCGGCUAACUACGUG